GUAAUUACUGCACUUAAUCUUGCUUGCCUUAACUUAAUGUUUUUAUUGCUUUUUAUUUCAGUUGUGGAAACCUCAACUUUGCUCGAAGAAGUCACUGUAACAACUGCAACAAACACCGCUAUGAGUCUAGUCUUAGUCCUCACAGGGGUUACUUUGACUCUCCUCCACGAGUGCCUGCAAGGCCACUUGGUCAACCAAGUGAUCGUGCUCCUCCAAGAGAAAUGGCGAGGUACAAGCCAGCACCCCGUGAUUGGGGUGUGGGUGAUCCUAGAAGUUAUCCAGCUAGAUCACCUCCAGAACGCGUAGGACGAUUUCCAGAUCCAUUGCAGAGGGAAAGGGGUUUCCGUGGUGAACGUGAGUUGCGUGACCCUGUGAAGUUUGAGUGGUCUGCUGCGGAGUACAAGCAGAGGGAGGGUCCACAUGGUGGGUUGUAUCUUGACAGGAGCCGAUCUCCUCAGGGGAGCUGGGGGAGCGAUAUGCGGGACAGAAGCAGAUCUCCUGCAGGUAACAGACCAAUGAAGGGUGCUUUCUUGGGCAGAGGUCGACCAGACCUAGAGUAUGGUGGUUCAUAUGUAGGCCGAGGGCGGUUGGAUGGUGGGCGCGGGCGUGGACGUGGGCGUGGCCGUGUUUACAGGCCAGGAGGUGAUCCAUACCCUGGCGAGGGCCGAGAUGAUCGGCGCGCUGCUCUUCAUGGUAGGGAUGAUGGGCGCUACUAGUUCAUCCUUUGAACUGAUUCUCUGGAAAGAAAGAUCUAGUUAAGACGGUGCAGGUCCAGCCUGUAAUAUUAAACUAUCAGUACUGUUUCCUCAACUGUGAUGACAUUUGCAAUGUUCUGAAAUGAACAAGUCCACUAUGCACUGGAUGAUGGUAUUAUUUUGGUUCAGUGAGCAGCUGGGUUGUUAUGUCAAAGCUGAUCUGAUUAUUUGGUUAUUUUGGGUUGCUUCUCGGUUGGGUUAUACCCUCAUGCCUGGUCGGGUGGAGUAUAUGCAACACAAGGAUUUCAGGUUGCUCUGGCAGCUGUAGGUCACAUGCCUUGGCCCUUGUGGUCUACGAGUUGUGGGCAUAGCCAGAAAGGUUCCGUAAUCACGGCAAUGUGUACUUCCAGUGGAACCCACUGCACUGCAUGAUGGCCUGAAGCAUCAAUGAAAAAGUCAUCAUUGGUAGAGCUACAAACAGGGGUGAUUUAACCUAUUGGAAGAAACUAAAGUUUUGUAGUGUGCAAAUAUCAAAUGUUUCACCGAGGCCUAUUUAGGACGUUGUACUAGGAACGGAAGACAGGUCGUGGUAUGCUUCGAUUUGUGUUAUGAUUUAUGAAUGUGUAUAUCUUGUGCCGGUUACACCAGGUGUAUCAAUUCAUUUUGCACAUAAUUCACAAAAA
This 1378-nucleotide long non-coding RNA is filed under the name Triticum aestivum (bread wheat). RNAcentral's name for it is "long non-coding RNA (TAES_LNC014948)". Lineage: Eukaryota; Viridiplantae; Streptophyta; Magnoliopsida; Poales; Poaceae. The record is from RNAcentral.